Molecule: ribosomal RNA, 253 nt
Filed under: uncultured bacterium
Lineage: Bacteria
Description: partial 16S ribosomal RNA
Rfam family: Bacterial small subunit ribosomal RNA
Source: RNAcentral
UACGGAGGGGGCUAGCGUUGUUCGGAAUUACUGGGCGUAAAGCGCGCGUAGGCGGACCUGCAAGUCGGGUGUGAAAUCCCCAGGCUUAACCUGGGAACUGCAUUCGAGACUGCAUUGCUAGAGUAUGGGAGAGGGAAGUGGAAUUUCCGGUGUAGCGGUGAAAUGCGUAGAUAUCGGAAGGAACAUCAGUGGCGAAAGCGACUUCCUGGACCAAUACUGACGCUCAUGUGCGAAAGCGUGGGGAGCAAACAGG